RNAcentral lists this ribosomal RNA (465 nucleotides) under Vreelandella stevensii. Its description in RNAcentral is "partial 16S ribosomal RNA". It matches the Rfam family "Bacterial small subunit ribosomal RNA", at positions 338 to 795 of the family's 1533-position model. The record is from RNAcentral. Lineage: Bacteria; Pseudomonadati; Pseudomonadota; Gammaproteobacteria; Oceanospirillales; Halomonadaceae.
CCUACGGGGGGCAGCAGUGGGGAAUAUUGGACAAUGGGGGGAACCCUGAUCCAGCCAUGCCGCGUGUGUGAAGAAGGCCCUCGGGUUGUAAAGCACUUUCAGUGAGGAAGAACGCCUGGUGGUUAAUACCCAUCAGGAAAGACAUCACUCACAGAAGAAGCACCGGCUAACUCCGUGCCAGCAGCCGCGGUAAUACGGAGGGUGCGAGCGUUAAUCGGAAUUACUGGGCGUAAAGCGCGCGUAGGUGGCUUGAUAAGCCGGUUGUGAAAGCCCCGGGCUCAACCUGGGAACGGCAUCCGGAACUGUCAAGCUAGAGUGCAGGAGAGGAAGGUAGAAUUCCCGGUGUAGCGGUGAAAUGCGUAGAGAUCGGGAGGAAUACCAGUGGCGAAGGCGGCCUUCUGGACUGACGCUGACACUGAGGUGCGAAAGCGUGGGUAGCAAACAGGAUUAGAUACCCUUGUAGUC